AUUCUCAAACUUUAAAUAUGUAAGAAGCCCUUGUUACUUAAUUGAACGUGGGCAUUCGAAUGUACCAACACUAGUGGGCCAUUUUUGGUAAGCAGAACUGGCGAUGCGGGAUGAACCGAACGCGGGGUUAAGGUGCCGGAGUGGACGCUCAUCAGACACCACAAAAGGCGUUAGUACAUCUUGACAGCAGGACGGUGGCCAUGGAAGUCGGAAUCCGCUAAGGACUGUGUAACAACUCACCUGCCGAAUGUACUAGCCCUGAAAAUGGAUGGCGCUCAAGCGUCCCACCCAUACCCCGCCCUCAGGGUAGAAACGAUGCCCUGAGGAGUAGGCGGCCGUGGAGGUCAGUGACGAAGCCUAGGGCGUGAGCCCGGGUCGAACGGCCUCUAGUGCAGAUCUUGGUGGUAGUAGCAAAUACUUCAAUGAGAACUUGAAGGACCGAAGUGGGGAAAGGUUCCAUGUGAACAGCGGUUGGACAUGGGUUAGUCGAUCCUAAGCCAUAGGGAAGUUCCGUUUCAAAGGGGCACUUGUGCCCCGUGUGGCGAAAGGGAAGCCGGUUAACAUUCCGGCACCUGGAUGUUGGGUUUUGCGCGGCAACGCAACUGAACGCGGAGACGACGGCGGGGGCCCCGGGCAGAGU
This 640-nucleotide non-coding RNA is filed under the name Neurospora tetrasperma FGSC 2509. RNAcentral's name for it is "Eukaryotic large subunit ribosomal RNA". It matches the Rfam family "Eukaryotic large subunit ribosomal RNA", at positions 1054 to 1690 of the family's 3401-position model. Lineage: Eukaryota; Fungi; Ascomycota; Sordariomycetes; Sordariales; Sordariaceae. The record is from Rfam by way of RNAcentral.